This 324-nucleotide long non-coding RNA is filed under the name Homo sapiens (human). RNAcentral describes it as "non-protein coding lnc-MBD6-1:1". The record is from RNAcentral. Lineage: Eukaryota; Metazoa; Chordata; Mammalia; Primates; Hominidae.
GCCGGGCGUGGUGGCGCACAUCUGUAAUCCCAGCUACUCAAGAGGUUGAGGCAGGAGAAUCACUUGAACCCGGGAGGCAAAGGUUGCAGUGAGCCAAGAUCAUGCCACUGUGCUCCAGCCUGGGCAACAGAGUGAGAAUCCUCAAAAAAAAAAAAAAUUAAAAAAAAAAAAAAGUACUUGCCUAGAGUGUUUGUUUGAUAGCAGUUAACACAUACUCAGCUUGGUCAUUUUGAGUAAUGACUUUUUUUUUUUUUUUUUGAGAUGGAGUUUCUCUCUUGUUGCCCAGGCUGGAGUGCAGUGGCGCGAUCUUGGCUCACUGCAACC